This 643-nucleotide ribosomal RNA is filed under the name uncultured bacterium. RNAcentral describes it as "bacterial SSU rRNA". It matches the Rfam family "Bacterial small subunit ribosomal RNA", at positions 232 to 885 of the family's 1533-position model. The record is from RNAcentral.
CGCGGCCUAUCAGCUUGUUGGUGAGGUAAUGGCUCACCAAGGCGUCGACGGGUAGCCGGCCUGAGAGGGUGACCGGCCACACUGGGACUGAGACACGGCCCAGACUCCUACGGGAGGCAGCAGUGGGGAAUAUUGCACAAUGGGCGAAAGCCUGAUGCAGCAACGCCGCGUGAGGGAUGACGGCCUUCGGGUUGUAAACCUCUUUUAGCAGGGAAGAAGCGAAAGUGACGGUACCUGCAGAAAAAGCGCCGGCUAACUACGUGCCAGCAGCCGCGGUAAUACGUAGGGCGCAAGCGUUAUCCGGAAUUAUUGGGCGUAAAGAGCUCGUAGGCGGUUUGUCGCGUCUGCUGUGAAAUCCCGAGGCUCAACCUCGGGCCUGCAGUGGGUACGGGCAGACUAGAGUGCGGUAGGGGAGAUUGGAAUUCCUGGUGUAGCGGUGGAAUGCGCAGAUAUCAGGAGGAACACCGAUGGCGAAGGCAGAUCUCUGGGCCGUAACUGACGCUGAGGAGCGAAAGGGUGGGGAGCAAACAGGCUUAGAUACCCUGGUAGUCCACCCCGUAAACGUUGGGAACUAGUUGUGGGGACCAUUCCACGGUUUCCGCGACGCAGCUAACGCAUUAAGUUCCCCGCCUGGGGAGUACGG